AACGAACGCUGGCGGCAUGCCUAACACAUGCAAGUCGAACGCGUGUAGCAAUACACGAGUGGCGGACGGGUGAGUAACGCGUGGGAACCUGCCCAAUGGUAGGGAAUAACUGCGGGAAACUGCAGCUAAUACCCUAUGCUCCCUACGGGGAAGAUUAUCGCCAUUGGAGGGGCCCGGCGUCGGAUUAGCUAGUUGGCGGGGUAACGGGCCCACCAAGGCUACGAUCCGUAGCUGGUCUGAGAGGAUGAUCAGCCACACUGGGACUGAGAUACGGCCCA
This 278-nucleotide ribosomal RNA is filed under the name uncultured bacterium. Its description in RNAcentral is "partial 16S ribosomal RNA". It matches the Rfam family "Bacterial small subunit ribosomal RNA", at positions 29 to 333 of the family's 1533-position model. The record is from RNAcentral.